AAGCAACACUCUAUGACAGAUUACUGAAACUGAUACAAUUUGAACUUGCUACAGCAAGAAAGUGUAACCUAUUCCAGUGUUCUCUCUUCCAUGAGACAAGCUGUUAUAUAGGCUUAAGCAGU
RNAcentral lists this small nucleolar RNA (122 nucleotides) under Spermophilus dauricus (Daurian ground squirrel). RNAcentral's name for it is "Small nucleolar RNA SNORA28 (ENSSDAG00000011240.1)". It matches the Rfam family "Small nucleolar RNA SNORA28". Rfam says of the family: ACA28 is a member of the H/ACA class of snoRNA that guide the sites of modification of uridines to pseudouridines. The record is from Rfam by way of RNAcentral. Lineage: Eukaryota; Metazoa; Chordata; Mammalia; Rodentia; Sciuridae.